This is a non-coding RNA of Anopheles sinensis, 46 nucleotides long. The record is from Rfam. Lineage: Eukaryota; Metazoa; Arthropoda; Insecta; Diptera; Culicidae.
GAAAAAGUCUUUUUCAAGACUACCAAAUUUUUUUGAAAGAUUAUUU